GCAUGCGUACUACAGUGGCGCCCAGUUAGAAACCGUUAGAGGAAAUGGCGGACAGUCGGUGGAGAAAUCAGGCGUUUACAUCGCUUUUUGUGCGAUAUAUGGCACCGCCGGAGUCUACGAUGAUCGGCAAUCGUGUUUGGAGAGGCUUGAGAGUCGAGGGGAAAUGCGAUGUUAUUCCACACGCCCGGAAUAGCGACGCUACGAGCGGAGCAAUCUUCGUCGCCCCCCUCCCCCUUACCCGGAAGCCCGUCUGCCAGCAAAAUAAUUUUGACCAAACAUAACGGACGGUCCUUCUAGUUCGGAGAUCAUAUGUUCCUCCAAAAUCCAGCAGAGAUUAUAAGGACAGUCUGGAACAAGGCAAGGCAAAGCCGCUGCUAGAACUCAGCCUCUGAGUACCUGACUACUGCUACAGGCACCAUAGGACCCGACUCACCACAAGGACUCUAAACCAGCACCAAGACAUCCAGCAUGCAGACACAGAAGAGACAUCCCUGUAUCUUACCCAGAGUGUUGACAGCAGUGGAGUCAGAUGUAGAUAGGAAUGGGGAGAGGAUGACAACACCUUCAUUUUUAUACGUGAUGGUUGUAAGAGUAUUGGUCACAAACCACAGGGCACAAACUAAUAAGGCCUUCAUAGCCUUAGUCAUAGCAGAAUAUGUAGCAAAUUGUACUUCAGUUCAAUUGUACAAUACAGCAGUGAAUAUUAUCUUGUAGUGAUGUUGAUAAUGGUGAUACAUAUCACAGGUCAGUUUCCUUGUUUUAUGAUUCUUUGAAUACAUGUAGUUUGCUAAGCCUGCAUGUGGCUGUUGUACAGGAGGAAUCUCAUCUGUAGGGGGACCUAUUUACAGCCUUAAUCAGGGGCGCGCUCCUGUUUAAAGCCUUAUUAUUAGGUGCAUGUCCCUUUUUAACACCUUAUUUAGGGGCG
Long non-coding RNA from Branchiostoma belcheri (Belcher's lancelet), 925 nucleotides. RefSeq lists it as uncharacterized. The transcript has 3 exons. Lineage: Eukaryota; Metazoa; Chordata; Leptocardii; Amphioxiformes; Branchiostomatidae. The record is from RefSeq and is a predicted model, not a curated record.